Long non-coding RNA from Lynx canadensis (Canada lynx), 295 nucleotides. RefSeq lists it as uncharacterized. The transcript is spliced from 3 exons. Lineage: Eukaryota; Metazoa; Chordata; Mammalia; Carnivora; Felidae. The record is from RefSeq and is a predicted model, not a curated record.
CCAGCAGCCUCCGCGCGCGGCCCGUUAAGCCCCGGGGGCUGUGUACUUGCAGGUUCCGUCCCAUCCUCGCUUACACUGAGCAUCACCGUGAGGCAGGUGCGACACCCAAGCUCUGGCCUCUGUGAACCCUCCAGGCAAGUAAACUCCAAGGAAGACUGACCAGUUCUUGAGUUUCUAAACCAUGGCCCAUACAUGUUUGGAUGAUCAAGAUACGCCAGAGUAUUCAAGAGGCUGCACCUAUAGCAACAGGAUUCUUCAAGAGCACAUAGGCAUGCUGCUUCAGGCACACUCAUUU